UGAGAAGUUAUGUUUUGAGUUUCAGAGCAUGUUGUUCUUAUUUUUAGUUUUAUUUUUGGUUUCUCUUUGAGUUUUAAUUUUUGAGAGUUUAUUUAGGUAGAAAGUUGUAUUUAUUCUACAAUUUUAAUUUCUGUUCUGCAAUACAUUAAAUCUUCUUUCAUGCAAUCUAUAUUCCAGUCUCCAAUUUUUCUAGCAUUUUUUUUUCAUCCAUUUUAUGCCAAAGUUUUUCUUUGAUUAGUUCAAUAUAUAAAUGCAUUUCAAAUUUAAAUACUUGUCUUUCCGUCAAUUUCAAGUAGAAAACAUUCUCUGGUAGCCCAGAGAAUCAUUCAAACAUCCUCGAAAUAAUAUUUUUCUUCUAUCAUUCAAGAAUCGAUUUCGAAUCCGAGUGAACGUUUACAUUUUUAUGCAACUCCAAUCGCUUCCCUGUGGAUUGACCUCUUACGACCACUAUUCUCAAAUCGGAUUUUGGAUGCCCGGAGUGAACGCCCUCCAGUAGUAAGUUUUUAUUUUUAUUUUUAUUAAUUUUCCUUAUUUUGAUAAUUUCUAGUUAAUAAUUUUGUAGUUAUUAAAUUCUGAAAUUUGAAAUUCAAAAAAAAUUAAAAAUUUUUUUCAAAAUUCAAAAAUUCAAAAAAUUAAAUUCAAAAUUUGAAUUCUGAAAUUCGAAAUUUGAAAUUUAAAUUUAAAAAAAAUAAAAAAAUAAUAAAAAAAUAUUAUUUUUACUAGUAAUUGAUAAGGUGCAAUCCUCCGAGGUUAUCAUACCUCUAUUGGGGCUCCUCACAGAGUAAUCUCCAGAGCUUAUUCAACGGGCAUUCGGAGAUUGACUGACGCAUAAAGAUUGUGUUUAGUUUACAUUCAAGUUAUUGUUAUAUAAAAAUUAAAAAAAAUAAUUAAAAUAAAAAUAAAAAAUAGUAAAAAAAAUUGCUUGCUCAUUUAAUCAGUACAACCUAAUGAUAUUGCAUAAACUUUAAAAAAUUAUUGAUUAUUUGCUGCAUCAAGUAUUGCAUAAAAUAAUUUAAGGGCAAAAUUCAUUAAAAAGAUAAGGUCGGAAAGUCAUUACCUGUCUUUAGCCCAAAAAUUACCACCUUA
This 1086-nucleotide long non-coding RNA is filed under the name Phoenix dactylifera (date palm). Its description in RNAcentral is "long non-coding RNA (PDAC_LNC014151)". Lineage: Eukaryota; Viridiplantae; Streptophyta; Magnoliopsida; Arecales; Arecaceae. The record is from RNAcentral.